CAGUUAGUCACUUAUGCCAAACAUUGUUUUUUGGCAUAUUUCAGUCUGAUCAGUUCCUUGCAGGAAUUCCCACAAGGGUAGAAUGGAUAUCCAGCUUGUUGAAGCCUCUUCUAAAUAAUUUAAGAUGGCUCUGGCAAUUUCUGUAGCUUAAGUCAAGACUGGAAAAUGGAAUCUUCCAAAGUCAACAGCCAUAUUAAGUAUGGAAAGGAACUUGUGUAAAAAAAUUUUCCCACAUUUUGAGUAACUCUGUAUUUUCUGAAAUGAGAUACCUGCCUUUUGCAUCAGAUGUCUAUGUGGCUUAAAUAAUAUGUAGUCAUUGUUCUUUUGCCUUCUACUUUUGGCUGGUGUUACUGUUUUGUUAAGAAAUAAUUUUAGAUUUUUCUUGACUUCAGCAUUGCUAUUUAUCAUAAAUUCACUAGUCAGGUAGGGUGAAGAGAAAAGACCAAGACUAGUUUCUCAUUCUAACUGCUCAGCAAUGAAAAUGUGUCUUAAUUAUAUUCAGCUCUUGCACAAAAGGCUUAGUCACUCAAAGUUAAUAAGGCCUAAUGGCUUCCCACCCCACAGAGUUCUCAGCCUGCCUUGCAGCUCCUGAUCUGAGGCGGCCAUGUGAUGGACAGAGUGGAGAAAGGCAGCAGCAAGAGCAGCUCUGAAGAUAAUUGUUAGCAGAUCUGAGCGCCUUAUAUUUCACUUGCUCAUUUGAAAACAGCCAGGGCCCCUUUAACAGCAUUCAGGAAAAUUUCACAGAAGAGAAGACUCCUACUCCAAACAAUUAUUAGCACCAUGCCCUCAUUAUGUCAGUUGUAAUGACAAUUACAGGUCUUUUUGAUGUGUCGGUGCAUGGCCUGGCCUGUCAGAUGCACCAGUGGGCAGCUGGAUGCCUAGGUGGGCAACAGUCUGCUCCGUGAUUCCUGUAGACUUGCUAGUCUAGUUUGGAUCAAAAACUGAACAGAGAAAGGCAUGUUCCCUCCAAUCUUUUAGACUCUUCCUGCCGAGGUACUGUAGUUCUGUCUGUUCACUGAAAGCCCAGCACAGCCCAGAAGAGGCCUGGUCGAGAAACAGACACAGGCAGCCAGUUGCCCAUAGCAACUGUAGUCCCACGCUUUUGCUGGUUUGCAGUCCCCUGCAAAGCUGACUGCUGAUGGCUCCUGUUUUUCCUGAGAGAAGAGUGUGUGUGUGUGUGUGUGUGUGUGGAUAGCUCUUUACUGUGGGAUGGAGAGAAAUGGGAUGGCAGAAUUGGCUGUAUGGGCAGCAGUGUUUGUUGCCCAAGCUACUGUGCAGACAGGAACAGUGGGAACAGCAAACCCAGAUUCUCAGGUCUUUUCUGUCAGCCUUUUCUAUUCCAUCUUAGGAGCCUAAGAGCACUCCAACUCCCUCUAUCUGCUGUCAGGUUGAGAAGGUUCAAUUUUACGUUUGUUACAGGGAAACCUUGAAUUUAAUCUCAAGUACUUGAUGAGCUGCAUUUCCUUCUAGUCCAGAAAAAUGAUCUGGAAUAUAGUUAAAUUUAAAUGUCUGACUGGUCUCUCACUUUUAUUCUUAAUCCUGAAAGGAAACAGGAGGAAAUUUCUCUCAGAGAGUACAAGUCAGGAAUUGCUGCAUGAAGUUCUUUUGGCUGAAAUUCAGAAGGCCAGACUAGAUAAUCAGGUAACCCUAUGGAAUCCCACCAUCUAGUUUUGAAGCUGAAGAUUUGAAAAAUUCCUCCCUUAUGAAAAAAGCUAUGAAGUAUACCCAAAGGACAGCUUAGGUCACGGAGGUGUGAGGAGAGUCCUGUAACUUUAAAGAAAGAAGUGACUCUGAAUAAACUGAUGAGGUAAAAUUUUAGUGAAAUACAUGUGACUGUAGAGUUAGAACUCUCCCACAGUCUGUUUAGAGGUGGACUAACAGCUCGUGCAAACAGCUUUUUCCUCAAUACAUAGAUACUGCAUACAUGCUGCCGAGGGGGAUCUUGGAGAAGUCAGUCAAUGAAGCAGUAAUAACAGGGGAAUUGACACAAAACAUACAUGAACUAUCUUGGGUAUGACAAAAGCACAGGGAUUUAGAGCACAGGUUGUAAAGCAGUUGUUCCAAGAGGAUGGGUGACUCUAAUUAACAUGAAAGAUUCCUGUGGGAGUCUGUUUGAGAAGGACAUUGAUAAGUCAUUAAAAAAUCCUACAAUCACUUGGAGUUCAGUCCAUAGACUAGAAGAAGAGAAUUUCCUGAAGUAGACAAUACCAGUGAAGAAAAGGCCUUUCACAUAACAAAGGAUCUAGCUAAAGAGUCAAAAUGACAUGGAGGAGUAAAAUGUGUGAAAGCAGAUGAAAGUGUGUUGGCAAACACAGAACAGAAAGAGCACUUGUGACUUUGCUUUUCCCUGUCACUGCAAUUCCUUCCUGGGAUGUGUGACCAAAAACGAAUAGAGUUCACGCUGGAGUAUACCGUUAAUUUAUAGAGUGGCGUUACAAAAAUAUAAUUGUUUCUCUGCCCUCUUUCUCAUUCAUCAUUAAUGUUCCUUUCCUUUCCCUUUUUUUUUUCUUUUUAA
Cyanistes caeruleus (blue tit) is the source of this 2515-nucleotide non-coding RNA. NCBI's taxonomy places the organism in Eukaryota, Metazoa, Chordata, Aves, Passeriformes, Paridae. The record is from RefSeq and is a predicted model, not a curated record.